GAAUGAGACGAUGAUUAGAUUUGUUUCCCUAUUGGUUUGAUCACCAAGAUGAUGGUUUUGUUUCUGGGUGGGUAAAUUUGAUCAUCA
Small nucleolar RNA from Camellia sinensis, 87 nucleotides. RefSeq annotates it as small nucleolar RNA Z102/R77. NCBI's taxonomy places the organism in Eukaryota, Viridiplantae, Streptophyta, Magnoliopsida, Ericales, Theaceae. The record is from RefSeq and is a predicted model, not a curated record.